Molecule: ribosomal RNA, 490 nt
Filed under: uncultured Rhodoferax sp.
Lineage: Bacteria; Pseudomonadati; Pseudomonadota; Betaproteobacteria; Burkholderiales; Comamonadaceae
Description: bacterial SSU rRNA
Rfam family: Bacterial small subunit ribosomal RNA
Source: RNAcentral
AGAGUUUGAUCAUGGCUCAGAUUGAACGCUGGCGGCAUGCCUUACACAUGCAAGUCGAACGGCAGCACGGGAGCAAUCCUGGUGGCGAGUGGCGAACGGGUGAGUAAUAUAUCGGAACGUGCCCAGUCGUGGGGGAUAACGUAGCGAAAGCUACGCUAAUACCGCAUACGAUCUACGGAUGAAAGCGGGGGACCUGUAAGGGCCUCGCGCGAUUGGAGCGGCCGAUAUCAGAUUAGGUUGUUGGUGAGGUAAAAGCUCACCAAGCCUGCGAUCUGUAGCUGGUCUGAGAGGACGACCAGCCACACUGGAACUGAGACACGGUCCAGACUCCUACGGGAGGCAGCAGUGGGGAAUUUUGGACAAUGGACGCAAGUCUGAUCCAGCAAUGCCGCGUGCAGGACGAAGGCCUUCGGGUUGUAAACUGCUUUUGUACGGAACGAAACGGUCUUCUUUAAUACAGAGGGCUAAUGACGGUACCGUAAGAAUAAGC